UAAACUCUUGUUGUUGAGGAAGAUAAUGACGGUACUCAACAAGGAAGUGACGGCUAACUACGUGCCAGCAGCCGCGGUAAAACGUAGGUCACAAGCGUUGUCCGGAAUUACUGGGUGUAAAGGGAGCGCAGGCGGGAAGACAAGUUGGAAGUGAAAUCUAUGGGCUCAACCCAUAAACUGCUUUCAAAACUGUUUUUCUUGAGUAGUGCAGAGGUAGGCGGAAUUCCCGGUGUAGCGGUGGAAUGCGUAGAUAUCGGGAGGAACACCAGUGGCGAAGGCGGCCUACUGGGCACCAACUGACGCUGAGGCUCGAAAGUGUGGGUAGCAAACAGGAUUAGAUACCCUGGUAGUCCACACCGUAAACGAUGAUUACUAGGUGUUGGAGGAUUGACCCCUUCAGUGCCGCAGUUAACACAAUAAGUAAUCCACCUGGGGAGUACGACCGCAAGGUUGAAACUCAAAGGAAUUGACGGGGGCCCGCACAAGCAGUGGAGUAUGUGGUUUAAUUYGACGCAACGCGAAGAACCUUACCAAGUCUUGACAUCCCUUGACGAACAUAGAAAUAUGUUUUCUCUUCGGAGCAAGGAGACAGGUGGUGCAUGGUUGUCGUCAGCUCGUGUCGUGAGAUGUUGGGUUAAGUCCCGCAACGAGCGCAACCCUUAUGGUCAGUUACUACGCAAGAGGACUCUGGCCAGACUGCGGUUGACAAA
This 710-nucleotide ribosomal RNA is filed under the name Faecalibacterium prausnitzii. RNAcentral's name for it is "bacterial SSU rRNA". It matches the Rfam family "Bacterial small subunit ribosomal RNA", at positions 426 to 1162 of the family's 1533-position model. The record is from RNAcentral. Lineage: Bacteria; Bacillati; Bacillota; Clostridia; Eubacteriales; Oscillospiraceae.